Molecule: ribosomal RNA, 1281 nt
Filed under: uncultured bacterium
Lineage: Bacteria
Description: bacterial SSU rRNA
Rfam family: Bacterial small subunit ribosomal RNA
Source: RNAcentral
CGGCAGACGAGGUAGUAACACCUUGGUACGUACACCGAAGACGGAAAUAACUCCGGGAAACCGGAGCUAAUGUCCGAUAGUCUCGCGAGAGUAAACGUAGCAAUACGCUUCGGGAUCGGCCUAGGUCUGAUCAGCUAGUUGGUGAGGUAACGGCUCACCAAGGCUAUGACCAGUAGGGGAGCUGAGAGGCUGACCCCCACCGAGGGAACUGAGACACGGUCCCUACUCCUACGGGAGGCUGCAGUCGAGAAUAUUCGACAAUGGAGGAAACUCUGAUCGAGCGACGCCGCGUGCAGGAUGAAGGUCUUCGGAUUGUAAACUGCUUUUCAUGGGGAGAAAGAUAUAUCGCGUGCGGUAUAUUUGCUAGUACUCAUGGAAUAAGAAGCUGCAAACCUCGUGCCAGCAGCCGCGGUAAGACGAGGGCUUCGAGCGUUAUCCGGAUUUAUUGGGCGUAAAGAGUGAGUAGGAGGUCCUUGUGCGUCCUUCUGUUAAAUGUCUCCGCUUAACGGGGUCACCGCAGGGGAUACGGCAGGACUAGAGGGCACUAGAGGCUUGUGGAACAUAUGGUGUAGGGGUGAAAUCCGUUGAUAUCAUAUGGAACACCGAAGCGAAGGCAGCAAGCUGGGGUGCACCUGACUCUCAAUCACGAAAGCGUGGGGAGCAAAAAGGAUUAGAUACCCUUGUAGUCCACGCCCUAAACGAUGCAGACUUGGUGUUCCGAGUAUCGACCCUCGGAGUGCCGGAGCUAACGCGUUAAGUUUGCCGCCUGGGAAGUACGGCCGCAAGGCUAAAACUCAAAGGAAUAGACGGGGACUCGCACAAGCGGUGGAGCAUGUGGUUUAAUUCGAUAACAAGCGAGGAACCUUACCAGGGCUUGAAAUCCAGACGAAAUCCCGAUGAAAGUCGGGACCUCUCUCAAGGACGGCUGGACAGGUGCUGCAUGGUUGUCGUCAGCUCGUGUUUUGAAAUGUUCCCUUAAGUGGGGUAACGAGCGCAACCCCUAUUCGUAGUUAUAUAUGUCUACGAAGACUGCCCGUUUUUAGGGAGGAAGGUGGGGAUGACGUCAAAUCAGCAUGGCCCUCUGAUGCCCUGGGCUACACACAUGCUACAAUGGCCGGUACAACGGGUCGCCAAAGCGCAAGCUGGAGCUAAUCCCGAAAAACCGGCCCCAGUUCAGAUUGGGGGCUGCAACUCGACCCCAUGAAGUCGGAAUCGCUAGUAAUCGCGGAUCAGCUACGCCGCGGUGAAUACGUUCUCGAGUCUUGUACACACCGCCCGUCA